AACGCGAAGAACCUUACCAGGCCUUGACAUCCAAUGAACUUUCUAGAGAUAGAUUGGUGCCUUCGGGAACAUUGAGACAGGUGCUGCAUGGCUGUCGUCAGCUCGUGUCGUGAGAUGUUGGGUUAAGUCCCGUAACGAGCGCAACCCUUGUCCUUAGUUACCAGCACGUAAUGGUGGGCACUCUAAGGAGACUGCCGGUGACAAACCGGAGGAAGGUGGGGGUGACGUCAAGUCAUCAUGGCCCUUACGGCCUGGGCUACACACGUGCUACAAUGGUCGGUACAGAGGGUUGCCAAGCCGCGAGGUGGAGCUAAUCCCAUAAAACCGAUCGUAGUCCGGAUCGCAGUCUGCAACUCGACUGCGUGAAGUCGGAAUCGCUAGUAAUCGCGAAUCAGAAUGUCGCGGUGAAUACGUUCCCGGGCCUUGUACACACCG
RNAcentral lists this ribosomal RNA (435 nucleotides) under uncultured Gammaproteobacteria bacterium. Its description in RNAcentral is "bacterial SSU rRNA". It matches the Rfam family "Bacterial small subunit ribosomal RNA", at positions 958 to 1392 of the family's 1533-position model. The record is from RNAcentral. Lineage: Bacteria; Pseudomonadati; Pseudomonadota; Gammaproteobacteria.